GACGAACCGUGCGAACGUUGUUCGGAUUCACUGGGCUUAAAGGGCGCGUAGGCGGGGUCUCAAGUCAGGGGUGAAAUCCUCCGGCUCAACCGGAGAAGGGCUUCUGAGACUGGGAUUCUGGAGGGAGGUAGGGGUCGAGGGAACUUCCGGUGGAGCGGUGAAAUGCGUAGAUAUCGGAAGGAACGCCGGUGGCGAAAGCGCUCGACUGGACCUCUUCUGACGCUGAGGCGCGAAAGCCAGGGGAGCGAACGGG
This 253-nucleotide ribosomal RNA is filed under the name uncultured bacterium. Its description in RNAcentral is "partial 16S ribosomal RNA". It matches the Rfam family "Bacterial small subunit ribosomal RNA", at positions 524 to 776 of the family's 1533-position model. The record is from RNAcentral.